UGUUUCACAAUGUUGCCUCUCCGCCCACAGACGGUGUAUACUUUAUUCCUGUCCAAACACAUCAGGCCCUAACUUAGAACCUGUUUCAUUUUCCUAUACAUAUUCUGGUGUCUUUACUGUCUCUCUCCUUAUGAAGACAGCAGGGGAAAAACUUUUACAAACAGACACAAACACUCAAACAGCACUAGAGUUCAGCUGAAAAUAAGUUAACCGAAUACAUCUAGGAAAAUGACAUGUGUAUCUAGUUUUUUUCUCAGAUUUUUGUCUCCGGAUUUUUCAUAUGCUUUAGCCCAGUGCCUCAGUUAGCAGCUCUUCACAGACUCACAAUGGAUGGGAUGAAGCAAAAAGUUCUACUCGAAGGCACCCCAGUGAUAAGCUGCCAAUACUUUCAGCAAAUCAGGGUGGAAAACAGACAAAGAGGCUAAGGAAGAGUUUUUGUGUCUCUUGGAGUCAUUUAUCCAUUAAUGUGCAUUUAUUUAGCACCCACUGUGUUUCAGACACUGUCUACCUAAAGUCACUGGUAUAUUCGCCAGAAAAAGCGGAGGAGCAUGAUUAGAUGACAUUGUCACAAAGAUGGACUCCCACCACCUUCUCCCUGAGCUGCCCCGCUCAGCUCUCAUCCAACAAAAUUCCUUCCUUCACCCUGUCCUCCUCAAGGACCCUCCUGUCUUCUGCCCUUCAUGCUUAGCAAAUCGAGACUUGAACUCACAAAAGCAUCCAUAACUAAAGCAUAGGUAACACAUCGGAAGUGCUGGCUUUUAAACUGCAGAUGAAACCAGAGCAGGGUAGAAGUGGGAAGGAAUUUCCGGGAUGGUUGGGGGUACCAAGCACAUCCAGCGCCAUCUGGAGCAACCAGCCCAGCCCAGAUGCAUUGUGCCUUUGCCGGAGAGCCUUAUCAGGGCUUGUGUAAGAAACAAAGAAAACCAUAGAAAAGAUCAAUGAAACAAAAAGCUGGUUCUUUGAAAAGAUCAACAAAAUUGAUAAACCCCUAGCCAGAUUUAUCAAAUCAAUAAAAUUUAGAAAUGAAAAAGGAGAAUAACGGAC
Molecule: long non-coding RNA, 1044 nt
Filed under: Sus scrofa (pig)
Lineage: Eukaryota; Metazoa; Chordata; Mammalia; Artiodactyla; Suidae
Description: lncRNA (ENSSSCG00015017882.1)
Source: RNAcentral